UACGAACCGUCCAAACGUUACUCGGAAUCACUGGGCUUAAAGGGUGCGUAGGCUGCGCGGAGGGUGGGAUGUGAAAUCCCCCGGCUCAACCGGGGAAUAGCGUCCCAAACCGCCGUGCUCGAGGGAGACAGAGGUGAGCGGAACUGAUGGUGGAGCGGUGAAAUGCGUUGAUAUCAUCUGGAAUACCGGAGGCGAAGGCGGCUCACUGGGGGUUUUCUGACGCUGAGGAACGAAAGCCAGGGUAGCGAACGGG
This 253-nucleotide ribosomal RNA is filed under the name uncultured bacterium. RNAcentral's name for it is "partial 16S ribosomal RNA". It matches the Rfam family "Bacterial small subunit ribosomal RNA", at positions 524 to 776 of the family's 1533-position model. The record is from RNAcentral.